Molecule: ribosomal RNA, 481 nt
Filed under: uncultured Bacteroidota bacterium
Lineage: Bacteria; Pseudomonadati; Bacteroidota
Description: bacterial SSU rRNA
Rfam family: Bacterial small subunit ribosomal RNA
Source: RNAcentral
GAUGAACGCUAGCGGCAGGCUUAACACAUGCAAGUCGAGGGGCAGCACGUCUUCGGAUGGUGGCGACCGGCGCACGGGUGCGUAACGCGUAUACAAUCUACCUUUUACAGAGAGAUACCCCAGAGAAAUUUGGAAUAAUACCUCAUAAUAUUAUUGCUCGGCAUCGAGUGACAAUUAAAGUUUCGGCGGUAAAAGAUGAGUAUGCGUCCUAUUAGCUAGUUGGUAAGGUAACGGCUUACCAAGGCGACGAUAGGUAGGGGUCCUGAGAGGGAGAUCCCCCACACUGGUACUGAGACACGGACCAGACUCCUACGGGAGGCAGCAGUGAGGAAUAUUGGUCAAUGGGCGAAAGCCUGAACCAGCCAUGCCGCGUGCAGGAAGACUGCCCUAUGGGUUGUAAACUGCUUUUAUACAGGAAGAAACACUCGGACGUGUCCGAGCUUGGCGGUACUGUAUGAAUAAGCACCGGCUAACUCCGUGC